UGGGGAAUAUUGGACAAUGGGCGAAAGCCUGAUCCAGCCAUGCCGCGUGUGUGAAGAAGGUCUUCGGAUUGUAAAGCACUUUAAGUUGGGAGGAAGGGCAGUAAGCGAAUACCUUGCUGUUUUGACGUUACCGACAGAAUAAGCACCGGCUAACUCUGUGCCAGCAGCCGCGGUAAUACAGAGGGUGCAAGCGUUAAUCGGAAUUACUGGGCGUAAAGCGCGCGUAGGUGGUUCGUUAAGUUGAAUGUGAAAGCCCCGGGCUCAACCUGGGAACUGCAUCCAAAACUGGCGAGCUAGAGUAGGGCAGAGGGUGGUGGAAUUCCAGGUGUAGCGGUGAAAUGCGUAGAGAUCUGGAGGAAUACCGAUGGCGAAGGCAGCCAUCUGGCCUAACACUGACGCUGAGGUACGAAAGCAUGGGGAGCAAACAGG
RNAcentral lists this ribosomal RNA (429 nucleotides) under Pseudomonadota bacterium. RNAcentral describes it as "Proteobacteria bacterium partial 16S ribosomal RNA". It matches the Rfam family "Bacterial small subunit ribosomal RNA", at positions 355 to 776 of the family's 1533-position model. Lineage: Bacteria; Pseudomonadati; Pseudomonadota. The record is from RNAcentral.